Molecule: ribosomal RNA, 460 nt
Filed under: uncultured bacterium
Lineage: Bacteria
Description: partial 16S ribosomal RNA
Rfam family: Bacterial small subunit ribosomal RNA
Source: RNAcentral
CCUACGGGUGGCAGCAGUGAGGAAUAUUGGUCAAUGGACGAGAGUCUGAACCAGCCAAGUAGCGUGAAGGAUGACUGCCCUAUGGGUUGUAAACUUCUUUUAUAUGGGAAUAAAACGUUCCACGUGUGGGAUUUUGUAUGUACCAUAUGAAUAAGGAUCGGCUAACUCCGUGCCAGCAGCUGCGGUAAUACGGAGGAUCCGAGCGUUAUCCGGAUUUAUUGGGUUUAAAGGGAGCGUAGGUGGAUUGUUAAGUCAGUUGUGAAAGUUUGCGGCUCAACCGUAAAAUUGCAGUUGAAACUGGCAGUCUUGAGUACAGUAGAGGUGGGCGGAAUUCGUGGUGUAGCGGUGAAAUGCUUAGAGAUCACGAAGAACUCCGAUUGCGAAGGCAGUUCACUGGACUGCAACUGACACUGAGGCUCGAAAGUGCGGGUAUCAAACAGGAUUAGAUACCCUUGUAGUC